This 246-nucleotide unclassified non-coding RNA is filed under the name uncultured Sordariales. RNAcentral's name for it is "sequence contains 5.8S rRNA gene, ITS2, 28S rRNA gene". The stretch from base 1 to 52 matches the Rfam family "5.8S ribosomal RNA", at positions 103 to 154 of the family's 154-position model. The record is from RNAcentral. Lineage: Eukaryota; Fungi; Ascomycota; Sordariomycetes; Sordariales.
AACGCACAUUGCGCCCGCCAGUAUUCUGGCGGGCAUGCCUGUUCGAGCGUCAUUUCAACCAUCAAGCCCCAGGCUUGUGUUGGAGCCCUGCGGCUGCCGCAGCCUCCCAAAACCAGUGGCGGGCUCGCUAUCACACCGAGUGCAGUAGUUUACUCUCCGCUCAGGGCGUGUGGCGGGUGCUGGCCGUGAAACCCCCUACUUCUCAAGGUUGACCUCGGAUCAGGUAGGAAUACCCGCUGAACUUAA